Molecule: ribosomal RNA, 440 nt
Filed under: uncultured bacterium
Lineage: Bacteria
Description: partial 16S ribosomal RNA
Rfam family: Bacterial small subunit ribosomal RNA
Source: RNAcentral
UCUACGGGUGGCAGCAGUGGGGAAUAUUGCACAAUGGGGGAAACCCUGAUGCAGCGACGCCGCGUGAGCGAUGAAGUAUUUAGGUAUGUAAAGCUCUAUCAGCAGGGAAGAAAAUUACGGUACCUGACUAAGAAGCCCCGGCUAACUACGUGCCAGCAGCCGCGGUAAUACGUAGGGGGCAGGCGGUAUCCGGAUUUACUGGGUGUAAAGGGAGCGUAGAAGGCUGUGCAAGCCAGAUGUGAAAGCCAGGGGCUAAAACACGGGACUGCAGUUGAAACAGUGGGGCUUGAGUGUCGGAGAGGCAGGUGGAAUUCCUAGUGUAGCGGUGAAAUGCGUAGAUAUUAGGAGGAACACCAGUGGCGAAGGCGGCCUGCUGGACGAUGACUGACGUUGAGGCUCGAAAGCGUGGGGAGCAAACAGGAUUAGAUACCCCAGUAGUC